CAUACGUACCCGCCAACGAACCUCAUUCAUCUUCCCUCCGUCGCACGGCGGUGCCACCUGGCGCACAUAUCAUGGGUAGUCACUCCAAAAAAAGCGGCAAGGGCGGUGGCGGCGCGCAUGCGCGGCAGGCCCGGCAGAGGCAGCAGGGUCAGGCAAAGGUGCUCAAGAAGGACCUUGGCGUGCCUGACCUAAAGGACGUGGCGCAGCGCCUGACGCAAACAGCACAGCGGCGCACGCACAGCGUCUUGAGCAUUCCGCACAUGCACGGCGCCGAGGAGGUCGGUGGGUCUCGGCUGAGUAACAGCGGCGUGAGCGGCGGAUGUCUUCGCCUCACCAACCUCAUGCGCGGUGGUGGCGCUUUCGGGAAAGGCGGCGUCUGCUCUCAGAUUCGCGGCAAGGCCCUGCAGCAGGUCACUCAGAGCGCAGAGGGCGCCGGCAGGACCGAGUCGACCUUGGCGGACCGCCGCCGCGAGAUGCUGACGCUGGCGCUUCGUACCUCAGAGAAAGUGCAUGACUACGAGGCCCCAAUGCAGCUGUUUUGCCAGGACGGCGCCAGCGAGGGCUGCGCGGAGGAGGACAACGUGUGGCUGGAGGAUACGACGCGCCGCGGGCAGGAUCGCUCGCUGCAGCGUUUCUAUAAAGAGUUUCAUCGCGUCGUCGAGAACUGCGAUGUGCUGCUGCAGGUGCUGGAUGCCCGCGACCCGCUCGGCUGCCGACUUACGCAGCUCGAGAAGAACAUUCGCUCAACCUACGGUGAGGAGCGGAAGAAGAUGGUUGUGGUGCUGAACAAGGUAGACUUGCUGCCGUCGAAGGAGGUUCUGGAUGCGUGGAUCCACUAUUUUGAGCAGCAGGAGCAGCUCAUGUGCAUUCCGUUCGCAGCCAACGCCAAAGGCUCACUGGGGCAAACGUACGUCACGAACCUGUUUCGGCGGUUGCGCUCAGUCGCCCGCAGCGGCGAGACGGGCGAGCGCAAGGCUAUUGUUGUUGGGGUGAUCGGAUACCCGAACGUAGGGAAGAGCUCCAUCAUUAAUGCGCUAAAGCGCAAGCACGUUGUCGGCGUCGGCAACAUGCCCGGGUUCACGACAGGAAACACCGAGGUGGAGCUGCGGUCUGACAUCCGCGUGAUGGACUGCCCCGGCGUGGUCAGCCCCGGCGAGGACAGCGGCGACGUGGUUCUGCGCAACGCCAUUCGGGUUAGCGAGCUGGUAAAUCCGUUCUUGCCAGUGCAGCGUCUCCUGCAGCGAUGCACGGCGGUGCAGCAGGCCGAUGACCAUGCCAACACCGACGUUGCCACCCACCAGGCGUUGCGCAACAGCGGGCUGCACCCGUUGGCUCUGUUCUACGGCAUUAGCCAGUUCCGCGAGAACGACGUGAUGGACUUCAUUGAGCAAGUCGGGAUGCGUCGCGGACGACUCACACGUGGUGGCCAGGUGGACGAGGAGUCGACAGCGCGCAUGAUCCUUGCAGACUGGAACGAUGGCCGCAUUCCGUACUACACAUAUCCGCCUGCUGUCGACGAGCUCUUCCUGCGCAGCGACGACGCCUACCGCGCCGUCAACAGCAGCGGCUGCCUCGGUGGUGGCGCUGAGGAUAGCAGUACGCAUGCGGAGCUGGUCUCGGCAAAGGCGCGCGGCGUGACGCUGGACGGACUGCCCACGUUUCACCUUCACAUGGAUCUGAUCGAGCAGCAGCAGCAACGCACAAAGAAGCGGUGGAAGCAGAGCGACGUGCCGUACGAUGACCCUGACGGCGACGAUGGGGACGAGAUGCUCUAGUGCAAUCCCGCUGCCGCAGGUGCGAGAAGGGGGGGGGGCGGGGCAGUCUGCGCGGAUGUUGGUGCGCCAUGUGUGUGCGUGCUGGGAGGAGCGUGCGGGGGGUGGGUGGGACACGGAAGGCGGCAUACCUCAGCGCUUCUUUUUACCGCGUGUGCCCUUUACCCCCCUCCCAAAACACACACAUACACACACACACAGAUGGUCUCUCUUGGCACUCUCUGCGCAUCGUCGAUGGAAGGGCAAGGUACUUGCCAAGAGGCGCAGAGUGCGUGCGUGAGCACACACUCAACGGAACGUUAAACCUCUGAUAAGCAUACACGAUUUUCAGGAUAGCAAUGG
Molecule: unclassified non-coding RNA, 2114 nt
Filed under: Leishmania donovani
Lineage: Eukaryota; Euglenozoa; Kinetoplastea; Trypanosomatida; Trypanosomatidae
Description: gene:LdHU3.33.3620(CDS-product:ras-like_small_GTP ases_putative)
Source: RNAcentral